AAGAUUUUAGGAAACCUGGCUUCAACAUAUCAAUCAAGAAAUUUCUGUGGGUUUCUUGUUUAGUUUGUAGACCUUUUCUCACUUCCAUUGUGCUCUUUAUUCUUACUUAAUAUUAUUCGCAAUUAGGUUUAUGGAGGCCAAAGUCCAAACAUAGUAGGAGACUGACUUUGCAAAGAAGUCAUCAUCACAUACAAAUUGCCAGCGAAUGGUCAAAAUCACCAAGACCAUCCGCUACAUGGUUUUUAUUUUUUUUAAUUUCCUAUUUUUCC
RNAcentral lists this long non-coding RNA (269 nucleotides) under Prunus persica (peach). Its description in RNAcentral is "long non-coding RNA (PPER_LNC007557)". The record is from RNAcentral. Lineage: Eukaryota; Viridiplantae; Streptophyta; Magnoliopsida; Rosales; Rosaceae.